RNAcentral lists this ribosomal RNA (525 nucleotides) under uncultured bacterium. RNAcentral describes it as "bacterial SSU rRNA". It matches the Rfam family "Bacterial small subunit ribosomal RNA", at positions 984 to 1509 of the family's 1533-position model. The record is from RNAcentral.
ACAUCCAGAGAACUUGGCAGAGAUGCCUUGGUGCCUUCGGGACCUCUGAGACAGGUGCUGCAUGGCUGUCGUCAGCUCGUGUUGUGAAAUGUUGGGUUAAGUCCCGNAACGAGCGCAACCCCUAUCCUUUGUUGCCAGCGAUUCGGUCGGGAACUCAAAGGAGACUGCCGGUGAUAAACCGGAGGAAGGUGGGGAUGACGUCAAGUCAUCAUGGCCCUUACGAGUAGGGCUACACACGUGCUACAAUGGCGCAUACAAAGAGAAGCGACCUCGCGAGAGCAGGCGGACCUCAUAAAGUGCGUCGUAGUCCGGAUCGGAGUCUGCAACUCGACUCCGUGAAGUCGGAAUCGCUAGUAAUCGUAGAUCAGAAUGCUACGGUGAAUACGUUCCCGGGCCUUGUACACACCGCCCGUCACACCAUGGGAGUGGGUUGCAAAAGAAGUAGAUAGCUUAACCUUCGGGAGGGCGUUUACCACUUUGUGAUUCAUGACUGGGGUGAAGUCGUAACAAGGUAGGCGUAGCGAG